UACCAGCACUGCUGUUGUGGCUACUUUGG
Molecule: non-coding RNA, 29 nt
Filed under: Rattus norvegicus (Norway rat)
Lineage: Eukaryota; Metazoa; Chordata; Mammalia; Rodentia; Muridae
Source: RNAcentral